RNAcentral lists this ribosomal RNA (460 nucleotides) under uncultured bacterium. Its description in RNAcentral is "partial 16S ribosomal RNA". It matches the Rfam family "Bacterial small subunit ribosomal RNA", at positions 338 to 795 of the family's 1533-position model. The record is from RNAcentral.
CCUACGGGUGGCAGCAGUGAGGAAUAUUGGUCAAUGGGCGGGAGCCUGAACCAGCCAAGUCGCGUGAGGGAAGACGGUCCUAUGGAUUGUAAACCUCUUUAGGCGGGGAGCAAUGCCGGGCACGCGUGCCCGGAGGGAGAGUACCCGCAGAAUAAGCAUCGGCUAACUCCGUGCCAGCAGCCGCGGUAAUACGGAGGAUGCGAGCGUUAUCCGGAUUUAUUGGGUUUAAAGGGUGCGUAGGCGGAUUUUUAAGUCAGCGGUAAAAUGUCCGGGCUCAACCCCGCCGAGCCGUCGGAACUGGGGGCCUUGAGUGCGGCGGAGGCAUGCGGAAUGCGCGGUGUAGCGGUGAAAUGCAUAGAUAUCGCGCAGAACCCCGAUUGCGAAGGCAGCGUGCCGUGCCGCCACUGACGCUGAGGCACGAAAGCGCGGGGAUCGAACAGGAUUAGAUACCCUAGUAGUC